Molecule: ribosomal RNA, 492 nt
Filed under: uncultured bacterium
Lineage: Bacteria
Description: partial 16S ribosomal RNA
Rfam family: Bacterial small subunit ribosomal RNA
Source: RNAcentral
AGUGAACGCUGGCGGUAGGCCUAACACAUGCAAGUCGAACGGCAGCACAGUAAUAGCUCGCUCUUACGGGGUGCGGGUGGCGUGCGUAUGAGGAGUACAUCGUAAUCUACUUUUUCGUGUAGGUUAACGUAAGGAAACUUACUCUAAUACCGCAGACGACCUACGGUUGAGAGCGGUGGAUCGUCUCACCGGGCGCGAUUGGAUGAGCCGAUGUUGGGUUAGCUAGUUGGCGGGGUAAAGGCCCACCAAGGCGACGAUCGGUAGCUGGUGUGAGAGGAUGGUCAGCGACCCUGGAACUGAGACACGGUCAAGACUACUGAGAGAGGGAGCAGUGGGGAAUAGUGGACAAUAGGCGCAAGUCUGAUACAGCGAUCCCGAGUGUGUGAAGAAGGCCUUGGGGUUGUAAAGCCGUUUUGUUGGGAAAGAACAGCAGCAGGUUAAUACCACGCUGUUGUGACGGUAACCAAAGAAUAAGCACCGGCUAACUUCGUG